Molecule: ribosomal RNA, 494 nt
Filed under: uncultured bacterium
Lineage: Bacteria
Description: partial 16S ribosomal RNA
Rfam family: Bacterial small subunit ribosomal RNA
Source: RNAcentral
GAUGAACGCUAGCGGCAGGCUUAACACAUGCAAGUCGAGGGGUAUAGUUCUUCGGAACUAGAGACCGGCGCACGGGUGCGUAACGCGCAUGCAAUCUACCUUUUACAGGGGAAUAGCCCAGAGAAAUUUGGAUUAAUGCCCCAUAGUAUAGUUUAUUCGCAUGAGUAGAUUAUUAAAGUUCCAACGGUAAAAGAUGAGCAUGCGUCCCAUUAGCUAGAUGGUAAGGUAACGGCUUACCAUGGCGACGAUGGGUAGGGUUCCUGAGAGGGAGAUCCCCCACACUGGUACUGAGACACGGACCAGACUCCGACGGGAGGCAGCAGUGAGGAAUAUUGGUCAAUGGACGCAAGUCUGAACCAGCCAUGCCGCGUGCAGGAUGACGGUCCUAUGGAUUGUAAACUGCUUUUGUACGAGAAGAAACACUGCUACGUGUAGCAGCUUGACGGUAUCGUAAGAAUAAGGAUCGGCUAACUCCGUGCCAGCCGCCGCCGUAA